GAUGAACGCUGGCGGCGUGCCUAAUACAUGCAAGUCGAGCGAACGGACGAGAAGCUUGCUUCUCUGAUGUUAGCGGCGGACGGGUGAGUAACACGUGGAUAACCUACCUAUAAGACUGGGAUAACUUCGGGAAACCGGAGCUAAUACCGGAUAAUAUUUUGAACCGCAUGGUUCAAAAGUGAAAGACGGUCUUGCUGUCACUUAUAGAUGGAUCCGCGCUGCAUUAGCUAGUUGGUAAGGUAACGGCUUACCAAGGCAACGAUGCAUAGCCGACCUGAGAGGGUGAUCGGCCACACUGGAACUGAGACACGGUCCAGACUCCGACGGGAGGCAGCAGUAGGGAAUCUUCCGCAAUGGGCGAAAGCCUGACGGAGCAACGCCGCGUGAGUGAUGAAGGUCUGCGGAUCGUAAAACUCUGUUAUUAGGGAAGAACAUAUGUGUAAGUAACUGUGCACAUCUUGACGGGACCUAAUCAGAAAGCCACGGCUAACUACGU
RNAcentral lists this ribosomal RNA (496 nucleotides) under uncultured bacterium. RNAcentral's name for it is "partial 16S ribosomal RNA". It matches the Rfam family "Bacterial small subunit ribosomal RNA", at positions 28 to 506 of the family's 1533-position model. The record is from RNAcentral.